RNAcentral lists this ribosomal RNA (253 nucleotides) under uncultured bacterium. RNAcentral describes it as "partial 16S ribosomal RNA". It matches the Rfam family "Bacterial small subunit ribosomal RNA", at positions 524 to 776 of the family's 1533-position model. The record is from RNAcentral.
UACGAAGGGGGCUAGCGUUGUUCGGAAUUACUGGGCGUAAAGCGUGCGCAGGCGGUUUUGUAAGACUGUCGUGAAAUCCCCGGGCUCAACCUGGGAACUGCAUCUGUGACUGCAUUGCUGGAGUGCGGCAGAGGGGGAUGGAAUUCCGCGUGUAGCAGUGAAAUGCGUAGAUAUGCGGAGGAACACCGAUGGCGAAGGCAAUCCCCUGGGCCUGCACUGACGCUCAUGCACGAAAGCGUGGGGAGCAAACAGG